UGGGGAAUUUUGGACAAUGGGGGCAACCCUGAUCCAGCCAUUCCGCGUGAGUGAAGAAGGCCUUCGGGUUGUAAAGCUCUUUUGUCCGGAACGAAACGGUUAGCGUGAAUAUCGCUGACUACUGACGGUACCGGAAGAAUAAGCACCGGCUAACUACGUGCCAGCAGCCGCGGUAAUACGUAGGGUGCGAGCGUUAAUCGGAAUUACUGGGCGUAAAGCGUGCGCAGGCGGUUUUGUAAGCCAGAUGUGAAAGCCCCGGGCUUAACCUGGGAAUGGCAUUUGGGACUGCAAGGCUUGAGUGCGGCAGAGGAGACUGGAAUUCCUGGUGUAGCAGUGAAAUGCGUAGAUAUCAGGAGGAAUACCGAUGGCGAAGGCAGGUCUCUGGGCUGACACUGACGCUCAUGCACGAAAGCGUGGGGAGCAAACAGGAUUAGAUACCCCGGUAGUCC
Molecule: ribosomal RNA, 449 nt
Filed under: uncultured bacterium
Lineage: Bacteria
Description: bacterial SSU rRNA
Rfam family: Bacterial small subunit ribosomal RNA
Source: RNAcentral